Molecule: ribosomal RNA, 491 nt
Filed under: uncultured bacterium
Lineage: Bacteria
Description: partial 16S ribosomal RNA
Rfam family: Bacterial small subunit ribosomal RNA
Source: RNAcentral
AGUGAACGCUGGCGGUAGGCCUAACACAUGCAAGUCGAACGGCAGCACAGUAAGAGCUUGCUCUUACGGGUGGCGAGUGGCGGACGGGUGAGGAAUACAUCGGAAUCUACUUUUUCGUGGGGGAUAACGUAGGGAAACUUACGCUAAUACCGCAUACGACCUACGGGUGAAAGCAGGGGAUCUUCGGACCUUGCGCGAUUGAAUGAGCCGAUGUCGGAUUAGCUAGUUGGCGGGGUAAAGGCCCACCAAGGCGACGAUCCGUAGCUGGUCUGAGGGGAUGAUCAGCCACACUGGAACUGAGACACGGUCCAGACUCCUACGGGAGGCAGCAGUGGGGAAUAUUGGACAAUGGGCGCAAGCCUGAUCCAGCCAUACCGCGUGGGUGAAGAAGGCCUUCGGGUUGUAAAGCCCUUUGUUGGGAAAGAAAAGCAGCAGGUUAAUACCCCGCUGUUCUGACGGUACCCAAAGAAUAAGCACCGGCUAACUUCGUG